Molecule: ribosomal RNA, 250 nt
Filed under: uncultured bacterium
Lineage: Bacteria
Description: partial 16S ribosomal RNA
Rfam family: Bacterial small subunit ribosomal RNA
Source: RNAcentral
GAUGAACGCUAGCGGCAGGCCUAACACAUGCAAGUCGAGGGGCAGCACGGUGUAGCAAUACACUGGUGGCGACCGGCGCACGGGUGCGUAACGCGUAUGCAACCUACCCAUAACAGGGGGAUAACACUGAGAAAUUGGUACUAAUACCCCAUAACAUCAGGACCGGCAUCGGUUCUGGUUGAAAACUCCGGUGGUUAUGGAUGGGCAUGCGUUGUAUUAGCUGGUUGGUGAGGUAACGGCUCACCAAGGC